UGACUUCCUUAGGAAAAUUGCAAAAUAUAAAAUCAAGAAUUAAUAAAUAAAAUGGACUCAAACUGAAAACCUUCUUCUCAGUAAAAGAAACAAUCAAUGAGGUGAACAGAGAACCUACAUUUUGGGAGAAAAUUUUUGCCAUAUGCAUGUCAGGUAGAGCACUAAUCUCCAGGAUAUAGAAAGAACUCAAAAAACUUAACGCCAAAAAUACAAUCAAUAAAUGGGUAAAAAGCUGAAUAGACACUUAAAAGAUAUACAUUCAAUCAGCAAAUAUAUGAAAAAAUGUUCAACAUCUCUAGUAAUUAGAGAAAUGCAAAUCAAAACUACUCUAAGAUUUCAUGGCAGUUAUCAAGAAUAAAGACACAGUAAGUGUUGGCGAGGAUGUGGGGGAAAAGGCACACUCAUACAUUGCUGGUGGGACUGCAAAUUGGUGCAACCAGUCAGGAAAGCAGUAUGGAGAUUCCUUAGAACCCUUGGAAUGGAACCACCAUUUGACCCAGCUAUCCCACUCCUUGGUUUAUAACCAAAGGACUUAAAAAGAGCAGCUCACAGCAAUGUCAAUGUUUAUAGCAGCUCAAUUCACAAUAGCUUAACGGUGGAAGCAACCUGGGUGCCCUUCAAGAGAUGAAUGGAGAAGGAAACUGUGGUAUACAUACACAGUGGAAUAUUACUCAGCAUGAAAAGAGAAUAAAAUCAUGGCAUUUGCAGGUAAAUGGGUAAAGUUGGAGAAUAUCAUGCUAAGGGAAGUAACCAAUCCCAAAAAACCAAAGGCCAAAUGUUCUCUCUGAUAAGUGGAAGCUGAUACAAAACAGGGAUGGGAGAGGCUGGGAAAAACUGAGGAACUUUUAUUAGGCAAAGGGAAGGGAGGGUAGAGAGGGUUCAGUGGGGCAGGACAGAUGGUGGAAUGAGGUGGACGUCAUUAUCCUAGGUACAUGUGCACAUAUGGUGGGAUGCUACAUGUGCACAACCAGAGAAAUGAAAAGUUGUGCUGCCAUUGUGUACAGUGAAUCAAAUGUAUUCUGCUAUCAUAUAUACCUAACUGAAAUAAAUAAACUAAUUAAAAAAUUUAAAAAGCAAAUGCUGUAUGGCCUCGGCUGCCCAUCUGCGUCCUCAACGCAGAGGCUCCUGUCCGAACGGUCCAGCCAGCACAGAGGUCUGGGCGGCAUGUCAGAUGAGGAGCAGAGAGGGAAACUGAGGAAGCGCAGGCUUAGGAGGAGCGAGAAAGCAC
Molecule: long non-coding RNA, 1228 nt
Filed under: Marmota monax (woodchuck)
Lineage: Eukaryota; Metazoa; Chordata; Mammalia; Rodentia; Sciuridae
Source: RNAcentral